RNAcentral lists this transfer RNA (75 nucleotides) under Campylobacteraceae bacterium. RNAcentral describes it as "tRNA-Cys". It matches the Rfam family "tRNA". Rfam says of the family: Transfer RNA (tRNA) molecules are approximately 80 nucleotides in length. Their secondary structure includes four short double-helical elements and three loops (D, anti-codon, and T loops). Lineage: Bacteria; Pseudomonadati; Campylobacterota; Epsilonproteobacteria; Campylobacterales; Campylobacteraceae. The record is from RNAcentral.
GGAGACAUAGCAAAGUGGCUAAUGCAUUGGAUUGCAAAUCCUUGAUCCUCGGUUCGACUCCGAGUGUCUCCUCCA